UGGGGAAUAUUGCACAAUGGGGGAAACCCUGAUGCAGCGACGCCGCGUGAGCGAAGAAGGUUUUCGAAUCGUAAAGCUCUGUCCUAUGGGAAGAUAAUGACGGUACCAUAGGAGGAAGCCCCGGCUAACUACGUGCCAGCAGCCGCGGUAAUACGUAGGGGGCGAGCGUUGUCCGGAAUUACUGGGCGUAAAGGGUUCGCAGGCGGCAUGGCAAGUCCGAUGUAAAAGGCGAAGGCUCAACCUUCGUAAGCAUCGGAAACUGUCAAGCUUGAGUGAAGGAGAGGCAAGUGGAAUUCCUAGUGUAGCGGUGGAAUGCGUAGAUAUUAGGAGGAAUACCGGUGGCGAAGGCGACUUGCUGGACUUCAACUGACGCUGAGGAACGAAAGCGUGGGUAGCAAACAGG
RNAcentral lists this ribosomal RNA (403 nucleotides) under Verrucomicrobiota bacterium. Its description in RNAcentral is "Verrucomicrobia bacterium partial 16S ribosomal RNA". It matches the Rfam family "Bacterial small subunit ribosomal RNA", at positions 355 to 776 of the family's 1533-position model. RNAcentral also lists the same sequence under 1 other name. Lineage: Bacteria; Pseudomonadati; Verrucomicrobiota. The record is from RNAcentral.